Molecule: transfer RNA, 122 nt
Filed under: Eutypa lata
Lineage: Eukaryota; Fungi; Ascomycota; Sordariomycetes; Xylariales; Diatrypaceae
Also listed under: 1 other name
Description: tRNA-Ser
Rfam family: tRNA
About the family: Transfer RNA (tRNA) molecules are approximately 80 nucleotides in length. Their secondary structure includes four short double-helical elements and three loops (D, anti-codon, and T loops). Further hydrogen bonds mediate the characteristic L-shaped molecular structure. tRNAs have two regions of fundamental functional importance: the anti-codon, which is responsible for specific mRNA codon recognition, and the 3' end, to which the tRNAs corresponding amino acid is attached (by aminoacyl-tRNA synthetases). tRNAs cope with the degeneracy of the genetic code in two manners: having more than one tRNA (with a specific anti-codon) for a particular amino acid; and 'wobble' base-pairing, i.e. permitting non-standard base-pairing at the 3rd anti-codon position.
Source: RNAcentral
GGCACGAUGGCAGAGUGGUUAUUGCGUAAGACUAGAAUGGUAUCCCUUCCUUGUGAAGAGAAGCACAUCGUCUAGAUCAUCUUAUUCCUUCGGGAGCGUAGGUUCAAGUCCUACUCGUGUCG